Molecule: long non-coding RNA, 1320 nt
Organism: Candoia aspera
Lineage: Eukaryota; Metazoa; Chordata; Lepidosauria; Squamata; Candoiidae
Exons: 3
Source: RefSeq, a predicted model, not a curated record
CUCAGUAAGAGGUUGAGUCAUUAUGGGAUGCACCCAGGGCAUUAUGGGAGGGACUGUGACUUUUCCUGCUCCAACUUUGCCAUCCUGUGUAUCUUCAGUCACGGAGGGCCAAUUUCUCCAAUACUGUUUCUUCUGGAGAUGGGUGGGUCGCUGUCAUGCAAAUUGUUGUUAGUCCAAUUUAUGUGCAGGGGCUGAUUGGGAAUCUAGAAAGGAGUGAAAGAUGAUUGGAAGUGGGAUCAUUUUUCAAAGACAAGGGUGUAGGUAGCCAUACUCAGUUUUUCCAACUCUCCGUUUCUGCUUUGCAGCCAUUGGGACGGUCUCCCUGCAAUGUUCUCGGUCAUCUGCUCUGGAACACGCUCAGAUGACUUUUGAAGAAGUGUCCAUGUGUUUCACCGAGGGGGAGUGGGCCUUGCUGGAUCUGGACCAAAGAGCUCUAUACAGGGAGGUCAUGCUGGAGAAUUACGAGGAUGUGUCUGCUCUGGGUACGGUCCUUCUCCCCGUCUUGCCUGAGGGGUGACCAAGGAAAGUGGGGGGUGGCUUACUUGGAAUCCCUCAUGCGCUUCAGACUUACUUAUUCAAGGACCACCAUCUCUGGGCUGCCAAAAUCUAGAUGACCGUUAGGGGGCAGCAAAACACAUCCAUAAAAUCGUAACUCACAUCGCCAUCUAGUGAUCAGCUGAAUUUUUGCAGUGGUAGUUUUAAGUUGGCAGGCAGAGGCUCCGCUUUCUGUAACGGGCACAACACACUACCACUAUUUUAUCCGUUGCGUGCUUCUGAACAAAAUAUUGCAGUGAGGAAUUCCUCUGUUCUGGGUUCCAAUCAGUGGGAGAGCUGCUUAUUCCCCUUCCGCACAAGAAACAUCCAGUUUUCUGUAGCCUCUGAGCAUGUUCAGUCCUCUUUGACAUUUUGGAAAGUGGUUUUCUCCCCUUGGUUUUCUCCCCUUCUUUCGUGUUAGUUUCUGCUUCUGUGCACAUUGGGGGCUCUUUUAAGCCUACAGAAAUCUCCUCCUCUUUUCUUAAUAAUCCACAGUUCUCAAAGUUGACUCAUUUGAAAGUGGAGGGAAUAAGACCUUAACUCCUUAACAUUUCUUCCCUUUUUAAAAGGCUUUUUGAUUUCUAAACCAAUCCUUAUCGCCCAGCUGGAAGGAGGGGAAGAUUCAUUCAUCCGGUCUUCUGAGCCAAGAGAAAGGAGGAAAAUUACAGACAUCCUGACUGCAAAUGAGAUGAAAGAAAAAAGCCGUCCACGGCAGGAGGUCCCUCCUAAGUUGGUGGAAACGCCCAAAAUACUAUCCCGAAGAUCUCAGCAGGGCAUUUGCUUGAC